Molecule: transfer RNA, 69 nt
Filed under: Marmota monax (woodchuck)
Lineage: Eukaryota; Metazoa; Chordata; Mammalia; Rodentia; Sciuridae
Description: tRNA.Ala
Source: RNAcentral
GGUUGUGGCUCAGUGGGAGAGUGCUCGCCCAGCACACCUGAGGCACUGGGUUCAAACCUCAGCAACGCA